This 629-nucleotide ribosomal RNA is filed under the name uncultured Russulaceae. RNAcentral's name for it is "LSU rRNA". It matches the Rfam family "Eukaryotic large subunit ribosomal RNA", at positions 47 to 649 of the family's 3401-position model. The record is from RNAcentral. Lineage: Eukaryota; Fungi; Basidiomycota; Agaricomycetes; Russulales; Russulaceae.
UAAGCGGAGGAAAAGAAACUAACAAGGNUUCCCCUAGUAACUGCGAGUGAAGCGGGAAAAGCUCAAAUUUAAAAUCUGGUGGUCUUUGGCCGUCCGAGUUGUANNUUAGAGANGCGUCUNNCGCGCUGGACCGUGCACAAGUCUCCUGGAACGGAGCGUCGUAGAGGGUGAGAAUCCCGUCUUUGGCAUGGACACACCAGGGCUUUUGCGAUGCGCUCUCGAAGAGUCGAGUUGUUUGGGAAUGCAGCUCAAAAUGGGUGGUGAACUCCAUCUAAAGCUAAAUAUUGGCGAGAGACCGAUAGCGAACAAGUCCCGUGAGGGAAAGAUGAAAAGCACUUUGGAAAGAGAGUGAAACAGUACGUGAAAUUGNNGAAAGGGAAACGCUUGAAGUCAGUCGCGUCGUCCGAGACUCAGCCUCGCCUCGGCUUGGCGUACUUCUCGGCCCGACGGGUCAGCAUCAAUUUCGCCUCUCGGAUAAUGGCGAGGGAAAAGUGACACCUUUACGGUGUGUUAUAGUCUCUCGUCGCAUGCGAGGGUCGGGAUUGAGGAACUCAGCACGCGCCCUCGGGCGUCGGGGCUUUCGCCCACGAUACGUGCUUAGGAUGUUGGCGUAAUGGCUUUAAACGACC